RNAcentral lists this ribosomal RNA (254 nucleotides) under uncultured bacterium. RNAcentral describes it as "partial 16S ribosomal RNA". It matches the Rfam family "Bacterial small subunit ribosomal RNA", at positions 524 to 776 of the family's 1533-position model. The record is from RNAcentral.
UACGUAGGUGGCAAGCGUUGUUCGGAUUUACUGGGCGUAAAGGGCGCGUAGGCGGCAAUUCAAGUCAUCUGUGAAAUCUCCGGGCUUAACCCGGAACGGUCAGGUGAUACUGUUUUGCUAGAGUGCGGAAGGGGCCAUCGGAAUUCUCGGUGUAGCGGUGAAAUGCGUAGAUAUCGAGAGGAACACCAGAGGCGAAGACGGGUUGCUGGGCAGACACUGACGCUGACAGCGCGAAAGCCAGGGGAGCAAACGGG